ACGGGGGCCCGCACAAGCGGUGGAGUAUGUGGUUUAAUUCGACGCAACGCGAAGAACCUUACCCAGGUCUUGACAUUGAUGGACAGAACUAGAGAUAGUUCCUCUUCUUCGGAAGCCAGAAAACAGGUGGUGCACGGUUGUCGUCAGCUCGUGUCGUGAGAUGUUGGGUUAAGUCCCGCAACGAGCGCAACCCCUAUCUUAUGUUGCCAGCACGUAAUGGUGGGAACUCAUGAGAGACUGCCGCAGACAAUGCGGAGGAAGGCGGGGAUGACGUCAAAUCAUCAUGCCCCUUAUGACCUGGGCUACACACGUACUACAAUGGGCUUUAAUAAAGGGAAGCAAAGUCGCGAGACGGAGCAAACCCCAGAAACAAGCUCUCAGUUCGGAUCGUAGNANGCAACUCGCCUACGUGAAGUCGGAAUCGCUAGUAAUCGCAGGUCAGCAUACUGCGGUGAAUACGUUCCCGGGCCUUGUACACACCGCCCGUCACACCACGAAAGUCGGAAGUGCCCAAAGCCGGUGGGGUAACCUUCGGGAGCCAGCCGUCUAAGGUAAAGUCGAUGAUUGGGGUGAAGUCGUAACAAGGUAGCCGUAUCGGAAGGUGCGCUCUGGAUCACCU
RNAcentral lists this ribosomal RNA (619 nucleotides) under uncultured Veillonella sp. Its description in RNAcentral is "bacterial SSU rRNA". It matches the Rfam family "Bacterial small subunit ribosomal RNA", at positions 913 to 1528 of the family's 1533-position model. Lineage: Bacteria; Bacillati; Bacillota; Negativicutes; Veillonellales; Veillonellaceae. The record is from RNAcentral.